CCUCCCCCCCCUCCGAGAGCUUGCGUCCUCCGCGGCUGAGGCGGCAGAGAUUGGAAUCUGCUCGCCGGCCGCGCGGGGAGGAGGGCGGAGGGAAGGGAGGAGGGAGGGAGGGUGGGAGGUUCGAGCUCCCGCGCGAGACGAGGACCGCACGGCCGCGCGAGGGGCGACAGGGCCCGGCCGCUGCGCGCCGAGGGCGGAGGCCGAGCCGGGCCCCGCCGCCCCGCGGCUGUCCGUGCCCGCCUGCGCCGAGCGCUGGAGGAUGAGUUUCUCGGGAUCCCGAGGAGGAAACCGAGACGCAGAGGUUAAAUAACUUAGAUAAGUGUGCUGGGAUUGGACUCAGGGACGUCGUAUUCAAGGGUAUGGCCCUCUUACAAAAGCAAAUUGUGCAAAGACUUAGAGCGUUUUCCAGUUAUGCAUGAAAUCCCGCGUUGCUUCAACUGUGAACGACUUGUGUUUGCUAGUGAGGGGAAUUAAACUUGGAGAUAAAGGAAAAGGUAACUUAAUCCUUAUCACUGCUCUCAGUUGAACUAAAAAGAUGUUGAAAUUUAUCAUAACUUUUUAAAGUCAGAACUAAAAUACGAACACUUUUGUAGGAACUCAAGAGUUUAUGGAAGGCAGAUUUAAAUUUGGAAUGCGUUUUUUAAUUUAACCGAUACUCUGUUGUUUAUAUCUUCCCUCCUCACAUUUUCGGUGGAGCCCUUUCAAACCUUUCUAACUGCCUUCAUUUCUCCUUACCCUUUAAGAGUGAAGCAUCCAGUGCUCUUUGCUUUGGAUUCCUUCUCAAUCUACUAUCCUUCUAGAGGAUCCCACCCACUUUACUAGUUAACACCUUGAAUCAUCCCCUUUUCCUACCUAUUGGAACAUGAUCUCUGUUGUCUUGUUUCGUUUGUUGUUGUUUUAAUACCUAGUUUCACUAUAUAGCUCAGGCAGGCCUCGAAUUGGCUAUGUAGAAUUGGCUGGUAUUUUGGGGUUUUAAAAAAAAGUACACAUGUACUUAGGAUCCUUUAAUUUACAAAAACUUUUAUAUAGUUUUGCUAGUCUUAUAAAAGUAAUACAUGGUCGUUAAAGAGAAAUUGCAAAAUUGAGCAAAAUUGAAGUAAAAUUAAAAUACAGUCAUCUAUAAUCCCUCCCGGAGAGACUGCCAGGAGUAGACUUACUUUUCCUCCUUGGGCACUGGUGACCAUCCAUUGACUUGACGCUGUGUUGACAGGAUUUCACAUUCAGGAAGGAACUAUAUAGCCUAAUCAGAUCCAAGCACUGUUCUGAGGAAGUAUCUGCUAGGGAAGCCCCCCUGCAACUGAGCUACACUCCCAGUGUAGGAUCCUUAAACCGGAUCCUUGCUGUUCACUCACCUAUAUGUUUCAUCAGAGGAAUAUGUACUGUUUUCUGAUACACUAAGGGGGGGGGGCAACCACACAUACUAUCCUGGAGCUUCAAGUCUAGUGGGGGAGACAUGUGGAAGGCUGAGUUCUAUAUAAUUAAGUGUAAUUGUGAUGAUAAUUAAAGUGUAGGGUAUUAUAAAAGCUUAAAGUGGAGACCUGACCUGGUGCUGGUGUUGCUGAAUCUAGGAAGACCUCCCUAAAAUGUUAUUUUGCAUUCUGACACAGUUGUGAAAUUAGGUGAAAAGGGGGCUUCUGUGACAUGGUGGCUUUAUUCUUUUUAUGCCCUCUUUUUACCUCUGUUCUUACUCCUUUCUCCUAAUUAUUCUCAAUGUUUUCCAGGUUUCACUUUUCACAUCAGUUUUUAAAAAUAUUUCUAAGUCCCUUGAAUUAUUUCACUUAUUUCUGUGUGUAUGCUGCCACACUCGUGGAGGUCAGAGUGCAGCUUGCAGAAGUGAGUCUUUCCUUCCACCAUGUGUGUUCUGAGAGUUCAUGUCAUCAGGCUUGGUUGGUGGCAGGCACCUUUCUUUACCUGCUGAGCCAUUUGGUUGGACCUCCCAUGAAUUACUGUUCAGAUUUUUUUCUGUCUGGUUAUUUUUCAAAUCCUGAUCUGCCUUCUGAACUUGAGGCCUUCUGCCUGCUUUAUGUAAAAAACUGUACCUGGUAGUCUAGUUCAGAUGAACUCUUCCUUAGUGGUUGGCUUAUAGUGCUACCUAUCCCUGUUAAUGGAUCAAGCCCAAUUCUCUCCCCAGUCCUUCUUGAGUCUAGUCUGUAGCCAACAUCUGUAGAUCCUGCUUUUGUUCCUGAUACUGUGACUCUUCUUUGUAUUCCUGCCAACUCUGAUACAAGUCUUAGUUUGUGCUGGUAUUGGGAUUAUAGUGGUUAUAGAAUAAUUGGGUAGCUUUCCUUCUUGCUGUCUUUUCAGGAGCAGUUUGAACUGGGAUUAUUGCCCUUGAAUGACUGACAUUAUAUUAUAUAUAUAUAUAUAUAUAUAUAUAUAUAUAUAGUAUGUAGUGUGUAUGUAUGUAUAUGUGUGUGUAUAUGACCAUUUAUAUAAUACACAGACACACACACACACACACACACACACACACACACAAAACCAUUUAGGCCUAGAUCUUUUUUUUUUCUGGAGAAGACUCUUCAAUUCUUCAAUUUAUUUAAUAUUUUAUUGGUUUGGUAAAAUGUCUAUUUCUUCUGUGAAUUUUAGAGCUUCGUAUUUUUUUAAGAUUUGUUUUUAUUUUUAAUUAGUUGUAUACAUGUAUGUCUUUGUGUGGGUUUGUAUGUGCUUGUGAAUGUGUGUGUCCAGGGAAGUCAGAAGAGGGUGUUGGUUUCCCUGGAGCUAGAGUUUCAGACAGUUGUGAGCCAUGCAAAGUCUGCCUGGGAAGCAAACUUUGUUCCUCUUCGAGAACAGCAAGAGCUCUUAUUUUCUGAGCCAUCACUUUAGCCCUGGGUUUCAUAUAUUUCUUUUAUCCCAGGAAUUUAUUUCUUGAGGUUUCCAGAAAUAAUUUUUGUAUUAAAAAUGAUUUUUUAUUAAUUCAUGAAUUUCAUAGUGUAUUUUGGUUGUAUUCAUCCAUCAAGCCCCCAGAUCUAUCCUCCACCCUAAUCUCCCUAUCCAUCCAACUUCGAGUUUUCUUUUUUAAAACAAUUUUUUGUUGUUGUUUUUCGAAACAGGGUUUCUCUGUGUAGUAGCCCUGGCUGUCCUGGACCUUGAUCUGUAGACUAUGCUGGCUUUUAACUCAGAUCUGCUGCCUCUGCUUCCCAGGUGCUAGGAUUAAAGAUGUGUGCCACCACUGCCCAGCCUAAACAUUUUUUAAAAAAUAAACUCAUCAUUCAGUUUGUGUUGCUCAGCUACCCUUGGAAGUCAGGCCUUCCCUGAGUUAUUAGUCUACCAGGAAUCACACCAUUAAAUAAAAGUGACUCCCUCUCUUAGCAACCAUCAAAUGCCAAUAGCUCCUCAGCUACUGGUGGGAUUUCAUGCCUACCCCUCACCCCCAUGCUGGGAUUUUGUCUGGUUUGAGUUUGUACAGGUCUUGUGCGUGCUGUCAUAGCCACUGUGAGUUUCUAUGUGCAAGUUCCCUGUUGUGUCCAGAAGACACUGUUUCCUUGCAGUUGUACACCACCUCAGUUUUCCUGUUCAUUGACUUUUACAAGAAGAUCCUUGAACCUUUCUGGAGGGGUGUGAUAUGUUGGUUCCCUUGAUGUUGAAUCUCUUCUCUGCAUAUUCACGGGUCAAGGGGCUCUGUGUUGAUUGCCAUCUUCUCUGAUGAUGAUUGAGAGAUGGUCUGAUCUAUGGGUAAAGCAAUAUGCCAUUAGUAAUCAUUUUAGUACUAUGUCUAUUUAGCAAAAUAUUGGUACUAAGUUCUUAAGUUCUCCUCUAGGGCCCACAGUUUCUUGGCCCUGUUAACAGUGCCAGUCAUGGAGGAAUAAAAUAUUUUAUUUGGUUUUCAUGUAGUUGCCCCUCUUCUACUUUAAUUUCUAUAUUUCUCUCUUUUCUGGUCUAGUCUGAGGUUGGUGGAAUCCCAUGGUAAAGGAGAAUCUACUGUAUGCUGUUCUGUUCUUGUUAAGGAACAAGGUCUUUGUUGUAUUGCUCAGGCUGGACACAGAUUCCUGGGAUAAAUAAUCUUCCUUCCAGUAGCUGGGAAUCCAGCUGCCUGCCAUUGUACCCGGCUUGUACUUAGUUUCUCAAAGUAAAUUAUAAGCCAGGUAUAGUUGUGCACACUUAAAAGCCCAGCAUUUUGGAGAUGGAGGCAGAGAGGGAUCUGAAGUUCAAGACCAGCCUGGACUACUAGAUAGUCUGUAAAAAAAAAAAAACAAAAAAACCCCAAACAAACCAAAAGCAAGUAAAUGUAAAAAUGUCUUUGAUUUUUUUAAUUAAACAAUUAUUUUAAUUUGUGUUAAUUUUUUCAACUAAUAUUUUGUUGUUGUUUUGUUUUUCGAGACAAGGUUUCUCUUUAUAGCUCAGACUGGCCUUGUUCUCAUAGAGAUCUGCCUGCCUCUGCCUCCUAACUGCUGGGAUUAAAUGCAUGCACUUCCAUUGCCCAGCCCCCAAUUAUACUUUUUUUAAGGACUGGGAAUCUGGUACAGAUGAGAAAGGAUGGAUGGGAUUUGGUUAAGGCUGAUGCCCAAGUUUCUAACUGGGGAAACAGAGUGAUUUGAAUUGAUGACUGAGAUGAAAAAAAGCUGGAGGAAGGGCUGGUCUAUGGGAAAAAAAUAGUGUAUUUUUUGCAUUGAUUGAUUGAUUGUGUACCUGUGUGGGCUCACAUGUGCCCCAAUUCUCUCUACAAUGUGGAUUCUGGUCAUUGAACUCCAAUGGGUAGGCUUGGUGGCAAGCACAUUUACUCACUGAGCCACCUUACUGGCACCAAGUAGUGCAUUUUUUUAUCUAAGGAGUUUAAAACAUCCUUUAAACAACCAAGUAGAGGUUUUGGGGACCCAGGUUGCAGCUUAGUGGUAGAGUGCAUACUUGUGAGGUAUGAAGUCCUGGGUUCAAUCUCUACCACAUACAUACAUACAUACAUUUUUUUUUUUAAAGGAUAUUUUUGGCAAUUGUAUAUAUGGACCUGGAAUUCCACAGAGGAAGGAAUCUGGAGGGCUGGAGGAAGACCAUCUGGAGGGAUUAUCAAAUAGAUUGUAUAUUUUAACCUCAGGAUUGAUUGGGUGGUUCUCAUAAGUGACUUGCUUGCAGUUUGACUGUAAGAGAAGAAAAGCCCCACUAUAUUAAAAUAAACAACUAGAAAUAAGUGUGACUGGAUCUAGUGGUGGAAUUGGGGUUCUGUCUUCUCUGUUUCUCACAUCUUGGGGUUCAUUUUUGGCCAAGGCAUUGAUUUGGCAGCGGAGGGCUUACCUGUACCUGACUGCUGUGGAUUCAGAGGGGAAGGAAACCUUUUCUAAUGGUAUAAAUCUCUUAUGCAUGUACUUGAAGGAUGAUGUGCCAUUGGUGUCUGUGCCUUCCUUCCAUACCCACUUGGGCACUGAGCUUUUAAACACCAUCUGUAGUGGCCUUUGUAGAACCAUGUGGGAUAGGCAGGUGGUAGUUUUUCUCAAAAGAUGAUAAGGGUAAAUCCACUUUGGCUCUUAGCCUUCUAAAGGUCAUUCUUUUAGAAUCUAAAGAAAAUACAACAAAAUAAUUUUUGGAACAAUUUUCUGGUUAUUCUGUGAACUUCUUCCCAGGGUCUCCUGGUAUAUUCAGUAAAAAUCUCAAGCAAUAACAAUUUAAGGCCUGAAUAGAGAAGACUGACAUUGUCAGUUCCUGUGACCAAGGAACUCUGGCUGUUUAGAACAAAAGUGUUUUAGAAUGUGGCAUGUAGAGUAAGAGGGAGGAUGUUUGUUUUAAAAGCAAACAUUUUUGUUUCUGUUUUUUAAAUUAUGAGAGCAAUACAUCCAGUAUGGAUAAUCUAGGAACUAUGAAAAACUACCCCCCAAAAGCAGUAAGAAUGAUAACUUUGGGCUUCCAAUUUGAUGGAAAAUGUCUAGUACUGUUUCUACUGCAAAGUGGCUAUGCAUCCUUGGAUAUCACACAAAACUACUAGCAUCUGUCUUAAAAGGGAAAGAAAACAUGUGACCUUUCAGGUCUUUUUCUUACUGCAGAGAAAGGAAGGAAGAGGGUUCAUCUUAAGGGGAACCUGAGUUCUAUGCCAGGUGUCCAUGUGCUGGAGGGAGAGAACCUAGUCCUACAAGUUGUGCACUGCUCUUUCAAAUAAAACUAAAGGAAGAAAAAAAGUCCAUGAGUUCCAUGCAGAGCAGUUGCUGACACUUCAGGUCAUAUUGUGCUUUGGGUCCUGAUGGCAUUGCUGGAUUCCUGACUUGCCAGAAACCCGCUCUUUUAGCUGGCAAUGUUUGCAAGUAAGAAAGGGAAUGGCACCUAGUAUGGUGGCGUCAAGGUCAGCCUGGUCUACAAAUUAAGCUCCAAUACAGCCAGGGCUACACACUGAGAAUCUUGUCUUGAAAGAAAAGAAGAGAAGAGGAAAGAAAAGAAAAAAGAUUACUAACAUAUUACCAAAAUAAGCCUCAUCAUUUGUGUUUGUUAAAUUGGGAGGGGGCAUUCUUAUUACAAUAUAAAAUCUAAAUCCUCUGAGACUGUCUUUUUCUGGCCCAGGCUGCAUUUGCUGCAGUGUUUGCUUCAUACUUACUACCUUGUUGUUAGCCUAAGUUGCCUAAAUACACCUUUCUGGAGCAUUCUAAAUCUUUGGAUCUGUAUUGAUCACUGCAGUACCCCUACUACAUGCAGCAUUUGAAAUGUGGCUAGUCUGAAAUUUGUCAUGGUGUAAAUUAAAUUACACAGCUAUUCUAAUAGUGCAAAAAUGUAAAAUACCUGUGCUUUCCAAAUGUUGAUUACACAUUGAAAUACUACUUUGAAUUCACUGGGUUAAGGAAAUUUUUAUUUAGUGGGUUUUUGUUGUUGUUUUAUUUUUUUUGGCAGUCUCCCUGUGUUGCUCACAGUAGCCUUGAACUCUGAACUCACAGUCUCUUGGCUCAGCUUCCUGAAUGCUGGGAUUACAGGUGUAUACUAUUGCACUUGGAUUUUUUUUUAACCCCUCCUUUUUUUCCAGUUAGCAGAAGUUCUGUAAUCCUCACCUCCCAUUACUACUGAUACAGGCAUAGGGAUUAGUUUAAUCUUUCUUUUCCAUUGUCUUUAUUUCUUCCAUCCGUUCUCUUCCCUAUCCAAAAAUAGGUCAUAAAAAAAAAAAACUUUGUGUUUUCAUUGGCUAUAUGAGCAGUAAUUUUGUGUGAGCACAUUUUGAUUUUCAUUCUUUUAAAAUAAUUGGUAUUCCAUUUUAUGGAUACACUUGAGUCUUACUUGCUUUUGAGACAGGGCCUUGCUGUUUAACAGUGCCUAUCCUCCUGUCUGUGUCCUGAGUGGUAUGACUGCAUGUAGGUGUUCACCAUUACCAGUCCCCGAUUCAUUAACAGUAAGAUUGUUUCCAGUUUUUUUUCUUUUGAAUUAUAAAUAGUGCUGUUUUACUCUGUGAAACUACUUUGUAGGAUAAAUUCUUACAAAUGUAUCUACUCUAAGAGAACGUGCACAAACUUAAUAGAAAGUACCUGUUUGCCCUGUCAAAGCUUUACAACUUACAUCCCAACUAACAAUGUUUGUGUGUAUUCUUCCCCGGGGCAAGUAUAAGUCUGUUUUUACUUUUCUAAUCUGCCAUCUGAAAAAGUUACUCCUGUGACAAAAUUUCUUUGCUGUUCUGAGGAUUAGCUUAUGCUCUGAAUUUGUCAUAAACUUCUUGGUGGGUGAAUUUUGCCCUAAACUAUUUUGUAUUGCUAACAGUGGAACUGAAAUAUUUUAUAAAAUGAAAGUGCACACGUUUGUGUGUGUUAACGGCAACAGGGUCCAAAGUAUGCUUCUGUGUCUAUGUCAUGAAAAUUAUUUUGACCUGAAGGCAUUUGCAAAUAGAAUUUUGUCCCAAAUUCCUUACUUGCCUAAAGCAGAGCUUUCCAAGAGAGCUCACUAGUCAUUCAUAAGCUCUUCACAAAGCUCCUUCUUUUGGAAUUUUGAAACCUGGGAAGAUUGAGUCUUACUAGAGAGAAUUUGUCACCACACAUAAAUAGACACUGCUACAAAUCUACCAUCUCUCUGUCUGCCUCCGAAUCACCACUUGUUGUUCCUAAAAUUUACUUGUUUUUACGCUCUUUGUGUUACUUGGGCUUCCUUGGUAAGAUAGAUUGCUCCAAAUUCUUAUGACAGUGUGUGUGUGUGUGUGUGUGUGUGUGUGUGUGUGUGUGUGUGUGUGUGUGUGUUUAACUCUUAGGCUCUAGUUGUGGAACCUAAAGAGAAUAGAGGACAAUCUUUUUCUGUUCAGUAAUGGCUAGAUUCAUCCUUACCCCAGCAUCUGGGUAAAGAUAAACAAAGUGAGGUUUCUCUAAAACAUACUUAAAAAUAGUAUUAUUUAAAAAUAUAUAAAAAUGCUUUAAGCAUGAGUAAAAUUGCUCUAAACUGAAUUUUCUAAAAUCUGUUCUCCAAAAUUAAAGAUUUGUUAAGUGAGAUUGAAUAUACUAUUAGAUGUACUUCUCUACAUACUUAUCCCAUCCCUGCAUAUAUAUUCCUGCAGCUGUAGUGAUAAAUUUAAAAAAUUUUAAUUAAAAUUUUUAUUUUAUGUGCAUUAGUGUUUUGUCUGCAUGUAUUUAUGUGUGAGUGUGCCUGGAAUUGAAGUUACAGGCAGUUGUGAGGGGCCAUGUAGGUGCUUGGAAUUGAACCUGGGUUCUCCGGAAGAGUAGCCAUUGCUCUUAACUGCUAAACCAUGUCUGCAGCCCCCAGUCUUUGUUCUUCUGAUCACAAAAAUGAGGAAGAAUGGCAAAGCCAUUCAUUUAAGUUAAAGUUUUUUUGAAUUUUAUUAUAUUUCAUGUGUGAGUGUUUGUCUGAAUGUAUUGUAUGUCUGUGCCAUGUGUGUGUACCGCUCACAGAGGCCAGAAGAGGGCAUCAUCCCAAGACUGGAGUUACUGACCUUUGUGACCUGCCAUGCUGGUGUUGAGAACUGAAUCAUAGUCCCCUGAAGAACAGUUAAUGCUCCUAACCACUGAACUGCUUGCCUGCCUCCCUCGCUCCCUCCUUCCCUUUUGGUUUUUCAAGACAGG
Molecule: long non-coding RNA, 8957 nt
Filed under: Cricetulus griseus (Chinese hamster)
Lineage: Eukaryota; Metazoa; Chordata; Mammalia; Rodentia; Cricetidae
Description: lncRNA (ENSCGRG00015032264.1)
Source: RNAcentral